UACGAAGGGGGCGAGCGUUGUUCGGAUUUACUGGGCGUAAAGGGCGCGUAGGCGGCCCACCAAGUCAGGCGUGAAAGCCCCGGGCUCAACCUGGGAACGGCGCUUGGGACUGAUGGGCUGGAGUUCGGGAGAGGAGAGUGGAAUUCCCAGUGUAGAGGUGAAAUUCGUAGAUAUUCGCAAGAACACCAGUGGCGAAGGCGGCUCACUGGCCCAUAACUGACGCUGAGGCACGAAAGCGUGGGGAGCAAACAGG
This 253-nucleotide ribosomal RNA is filed under the name uncultured bacterium. Its description in RNAcentral is "partial 16S ribosomal RNA". It matches the Rfam family "Bacterial small subunit ribosomal RNA", at positions 524 to 776 of the family's 1533-position model. The record is from RNAcentral.